CUGCGAAGGAUCAUUG
RNAcentral lists this ribosomal RNA (16 nucleotides) under Perezia lyrata. RNAcentral describes it as "partial 18S ribosomal RNA". The record is from RNAcentral. Lineage: Eukaryota; Viridiplantae; Streptophyta; Magnoliopsida; Asterales; Asteraceae.